Molecule: long non-coding RNA, 442 nt
Filed under: Homo sapiens (human)
Lineage: Eukaryota; Metazoa; Chordata; Mammalia; Primates; Hominidae
Description: HSALNT0349236
Source: RNAcentral
CAGAAAUUUGGUCUCUGGUAGUGGGUCCACUUCCACCCCAUUUCAGACUCUACAGACCAAGCUUGCCUGCAGCCUGUACCUCCAAAAUGUGGAGGUGGGGAGGUCUAAGAAAGAGGGGGAUCACUUGCAAAUAUAAGGAAAUCAGACGCACCCGGUGCUACAGAAAUGGGCCAGGAGAAAACUCAGCAUUUUGACUGGGAUUUUGUUCCAACCAAGCAACUCUCUUCUACUUUCGUUGUGUACGGUUGGCACCAGAUGAAAACCAAAGGAAGAGGGACAAGAAAUUAAGACGUGUUUAUCUUAAGACGAGAGAGACAAAGUCAGAUCUCUUGAAGACAACCAUAUCUGCUUAAUGCCAUAUGCAAUAGAAAACUCUUCAAAGAACUACAGGGGGCCGGGCGCAGUGACUUAUGCCUGCAAUCCCAGCACUUUGGGAGGCUGA